UCAGCACGGCUGAGCUUUUUCUCAACCUGUUUCCUAUCAAGAAUAGAACCUGAUGAAAAUGACCUCCUCAAGAGAGAGACUCUCAAGCAGGGCUUCUUAAAGUUGGAAAUCCCCACAGAUCACCUGGGGGGCUUGUUAAAAUGCAGAUUCUGACUCUGUAGGUCUGGGGUAGGGCCUGAGAUUCUGCAUUUCCAACAAGCUCCAAGAUGCCCCUGCUGCUGGUCUAGGAACCACAGUUUGAGUAGCCAGGAUCUAAGUGUCUCUUGAUGUCAGACUCUUCAGCUAUGAUUACUGAACAAUAAUUGGGCUAAUGGUGUUGGGUUUAAGACCCAGCAUUUUCCACAAGCAUGUAUACUAUAUGUACCUCACUUUGGAAAGGAUGGUCAAACUCUGGACCCACAGGCAGAUAAUGGCCAACUGGAAAAUUUCUUUAUGCAUCUUCUCAGAGAUCUCUUCUGAUGGAUCUGAAAAAAGGAAGAUGAACUUUAGAAAUAUAUUGUCAAAAUAAAAUCAAUCCUCAAGAAAUUAUGAUCCGGAGUGCAUUAUCCCCUCCUUCGGGAAGAAUGGACAUCUUUACAAGAUUAAGUCUACCCAACGAGGAACAUGGGAAAAGCAAAGAUUGCCUCCAAUCUCAAAUGGCUCAAGCAGAACUGGGAUACCAGCUAUAUGAAGCCAAUGCUGUCAUAUGUUCCGUUUGGGAUAAGAUUCAUUGCUGAGGAAUUUGUCUUAUGGCGAAGCUUGGAAAUAGCAGCUGUUUAUAAUUAAACAGAUGGAGUAAGUUAAGAUGAGGUCAUACUGGAUUAGAAUGGCCCCUAAAGCCAAUGACUGGUGUUCUCAUAAGAAGGCCAUGUGAAGAAAUACAGACACGGGCAGAGGGAAGAUGGCAUGUGGAGACAGAGGCAAAGAAUGGAGUGAUGCAGCUACAAGCCAAGGAACACCAAGGAUUGCUGGCAAACCACCAGAAGCUAGGAGAGAGGUGAGAAAGGAUUCUGCCCUAGAGCUUCAGAGAGAGCAUAGCCUCGCUGACACCUUGGUUUCAGACUUCUGGCUUUCAGAACUGUAAGAGAACAAAUUUCUAUUGUUUUAAGCAACCCACUUUGUGGUACUUUUUUACACUUGUCCUCGGAAACUAAUACAUCAAGUAUCUAUUUCAUCUCACAGAUGUACAAAGUAGCGACUAAAGGAGAAAUCCAGUAACUAAGUUAAGAAAUUAUUAUUU
RNAcentral lists this long non-coding RNA (1219 nucleotides) under Equus caballus (horse). RNAcentral's name for it is "lncRNA (ENSECAG00000052287.1)". The record is from RNAcentral. Lineage: Eukaryota; Metazoa; Chordata; Mammalia; Perissodactyla; Equidae.